CCUAAGUGUAAAGCUCCAUCGUCCUAUUAAAAGAAUAGCAAACCAUGAUUAAAGCCCUAACCCCCUUUCCUUCCUUCUCUUGCUAACCAAACCCAUAAAAGCCUCCAACUAUGAUUACACCUUUUGAUCACCAAUUGCAAUGAUGAAUCAUUGAUAGGUGUUAGUAGAAGUAAAGACCAGCAAAGCCUUCACCGCAUCCUACUUCUUCUUCUUCUUCUAACUAUAUAAACACCAUUCCUCAUUCCUUUGAUUCCAUGAACAGCAGAAGAGAGAACAGGGAGAAGGAGAACGACCGAAGCAUCAGGGAGCAAGAACAAGAACGUUCUUCAAGUUCUUCUAGCCCUUCAUCAACCACAGCACCAAGAGAAGGAGGGUGAUGGCCAAGGAGCGAGCUGACCGAAGCUGAAGAGGGAGCUACAUCUUACCCACCAAGCUGUUUCUUCGAGCUUCUUUGCUAGGUAAGGUCCAACGGCUUCAUCUUCUUCCUUUCCUCCUCAAAUUCAAAAUUGCGACCCUUCCCUUGCUUCAUUCUCCCAGUUUAUUCAAAUUUUGUUAGCAUAGCUACCACCACAAACAAAGAGGGGUGAGUGAUCUUCCAUUACUUAUGUUUGAUUUGGCCGAAUGGCCUUGAGGAUGUGAUCAAAAUUCUGGUUCUUGAAUUGGUUAGGGUUCGGGUUCAGGGGAGAAGCAGGAAUAAAUUCUUUGUUAUUGAUCAACAAAAGAAAAAAAUUCAGCAGAUUGGCGCCAACUUGUGUAAAAUUCUGGGCAAAAUCUAUACGAAAAAGUAGUGGCCGAAAAACUCAGCCUGCACAAAUUAGCUACGAAUAAAGUAUGGUAGAAUUAUAAUUUUUUAUUUGAUUUUUUUUAUCGACGGCAUUAAAUGCGAAAAAUGAUGUACAAACUGUGGCUCUUUAAAGGUCUCCACGAUAUUUAAAACUGUGACUAAUAACUUUAAAACUGUGGCAAACUGAGUAUUAGUCACAAAUAUUUUUUCGUGACUAAUGUAUGAUUGCUACCGUUUUUAUGGAUUUUAACCACUAUUUUUUUCGUGGCUAAAUCCCUUAUUUCUUGUGUUGCAUGGGCUCUUGAGGAAGAUAAGAAGCUAAUUGAUUAUGUUACUAGGUAUGGCUGCUGGAAUUGGAGUCAACUUCCAAAAUUUGCUGGCCUAGCAAGGUGUAUGUGGGAAGAGUUACAGGUUGAGGUGGCUGAAUUAUUUAAGUCCUAAUCUCAAAAGAGGGAACUUUACUCAACAAGAAGAAGAUAUUAUCAUCAAAUUGCACAAUAAACUCGGCAAUAGGAAGAACUAACAGAUAACGAAAUCAAGAACUAUUGGCACACAACGCUCAAGAAGCGCGCGCUUGCAACAAAAAGAAGUUACUAGUAAUAAUAAUAAUAACAAUAAAGAAUCAUCCAAAUCGUCAUCAUCACAAGAAUGCCACCGUGAGAGGAACAUGGCGGUGGUUAUGACUUAUGAACAAUAAUGUUGUUCUUGAUCUUGAUCCUUCAGAAUGCACUUCUACCCCAUCAUCACCACUAUCUUCUUCUUCUAGUGACGAAUUUUCUUCUGUAACCACUUCAGAUCACAAUAAUAACACAACAGCGAGUGAUGAACAAAUUUCUCACCAAAUAAUAACAAAGGAAAAUGUGUCAGACAAUUAUAAUAAUUAUCACUUUGAAAGUCCGGAUUCUGCAGUGAAGAUUUUCUGGAUGCUAGUGAUGCCAAUUUUGAUUAUCACAUACUAUCCAUGAUUCAAAAUUUUUUGUCACAGCCAUAUAUGACCGACGACAUCUCACUCAUACAAUAACAUGAUAAUACGUAUUCUAAUGAAUAAACAUUUCAUAUUAUUGGGAUUAGUUGUUUCUUGAUGGGUCAAUCAUCAUUGGUGACUGACGAUUGAUACAAGCUGUACGCUAAUAUUGUUGUGUUAAUAAUUAUACCAUGUUGGCAGU
Arachis ipaensis is the source of this 1950-nucleotide non-coding RNA. Lineage: Eukaryota; Viridiplantae; Streptophyta; Magnoliopsida; Fabales; Fabaceae. The record is from RefSeq and is a predicted model, not a curated record.